GAGAGUUAAAUAGUACGUGAAAUUGUUGAAAGGGAAACGAUUGAAGUCAGUCAUGCUAGUGAAAAAUCAGUUUGACGGGUUUUGAGUUCGGGAGUAGAGGCAGGGUCAAACCGUUUCUCUUUUGAACUUGGGAUUUGUUAGAUGUACUUUUUCUUUGGCAGGUCAGCGUCGAUUUCGGAGGUUGUAAAAUACUCGGGGGAAAGUAACUCUGCUUCGGGAGAGUAUUAUAGACCCUGGGGGAUGCAGCCUGGGGGAUCGAGGAUUGCAGCAAAUGCCUUUGGCUUGUCGCCUGAUCUCUGGAUGUUACCUCGCUUUUGACAACAUUCUUGCCACUUGUGGGUACUAAUGCCCAUUAGGUUAGAGCGAUCAAAAAUUUUGCUAAGGAUGCUGACGUAAUGGCUUUAAACGA
This 409-nucleotide ribosomal RNA is filed under the name uncultured Diversispora. RNAcentral's name for it is "partial 28S ribosomal RNA". Lineage: Eukaryota; Fungi; Glomeromycota; Glomeromycetes; Diversisporales; Diversisporaceae. The record is from RNAcentral.